AGGGGCCUGGCCAGGGAGGCCAGGGGAAGGCUCCCAAGAAGGACCAGGCCAGUGAGGGCAGAGCCGAGCCCCUUGUGCUGAGGGUCAGUGACAGCGACCUCACACCAUCUGAGUCUUUCUGAGAUCCAAACUUGGUUACUCUCCUUCCCUUCCUCAUUCGGACCAGAUGAUUGCGUUUUACAAAUUAUAUUUUCAAUUCUCUGCAGGGUGGCCUUAAUCCAGGUCUCCAUCUCUCUCUUGGAUUCCUGCCACAGCUGGAGACAGUCAUGGAGGUGCUAAAGUGUCGACUCACUGAUUCCCUACUUAGUGCACUCCUCCAAGCCCCAGGGCUUCCAAUACCAACAUAUGGAUAUAUGUUGGUGACUUCCAGCCCCACGUCCAUCUCAGAUAGCCCAGCGGCCCCCAAUCCUCCUGCUUCCUAUGUAAGUGGCAGUCCCCUGCCGCUCAAGCCAACAUGAUGGGCCUUUUUUUUGGAGCUAGUCUCCACCUUCCCCUCAUCUCAUACUGACUUGAUCUUGACAACUCAUCUCAAUCUGGCUGCUCCUCUCCAUGUACCCAUUCCCCUUGGGGUGCAAGCCACACCACCCUUCACUUGGGGGAUGAUAGCAGCCAGUGGGCCCACAUCUGGCUGUGCCCCUCAUCUGUUAAAUAAUCUCACAGGCUCUUCCAGCCAUGCUGAGAAGGCCCAUCACUGACUCGUGCCUCUGGACCUUGGCACCUGCCAGAAAUGGUAGUCCCACUCCCCCUGCCAGUGAUUGGCUUAGGAAUGGCCACGGGACCCAGUUCCAACCAGGAAGAGGAAGUGGGACGAGCAGAAUGAUCCUCCUUUAGAAUCGGUUGUAUCUAAUUGGGAUGCAGAUGCCCGAAACUCUGCAGUUUAGGAAACACUAGGGCCCUCUCUGUGAAACAUUGAGAUGUCCAAGUGGAAAGAGAACAAAUCCUGUAUUCGAAGAAACGGUGGACCGAGGCUCGCCCCGGCGGACCUGGACCUGCGUGCCUCUGCCUUCUCAUGUGAACUGAUGUCUCUUGCUUGAACUCACUUGAGUAAAGGUUUUGUGCCACUUGUAGCACGUGCAGAUGUAACCAUCAACACGGAACUCCUACUUCCUGGAGACUGUGGGGGAUUUGAACUUACUGUAGGUUCACGGAGUGACAAAGCUGUUUCUAGGGCCGAUGCAGCCGUGAGCCAUGUGAAUAGGAUCACGGGGUCUGAGCUGGGGGAGGUGAGGGUUCUGUGCUCUCCCGUACUGGUCAGACUCCACCUGGAGAGGCUAUGGUCAGUCCAGGGUGAAUAUGCCAGGAGGGAGGUUGACCCGCCAGGUCCACCUGCUGAGAAUGAUAGCAAUUAGAAGGGUUGGGAAUCCCUGCCACGCAAGGGAUGAGUGAGAAAAUGGGGCUUUUUCUCCUGGCAAAGAGAAGGUUGGCUGUGGGACUUCACUUCGGCUUCAGAUGCGUGCAGGGUGAUGUGUGGAGGGGGUGGCCACGCUCGUGCUGCUGACCAAGAGGAAGUCAAAGACAGUACAGAGUUUGUCAACAAUUGAGGGCAAAUUCAGACUUCAGUGGGUAUCAUUCUCACCCAGGGAAGUUGGUAAAAACAGAAGGGCCCAGGCCCUGUCUUUCAAUAAGCCUGGACUCCAAGUUGUUAGCACUCUAGGGGGUUCUAGGGCACCGCAACAUUUUUGCAAUGCCUGACUCAAGGGAAGGAAGCCAACAUUUGUGAGGCAUUUAACGUGAGCCACGUGUUGAGCUGGACCCAUCCCUGUGGCUCCCAUUUGAUUUUGACACAGAUUCUUAGAGCCAAGCACUGCUACAGAUGGUUUUGGGAAGUGUAGUGAGUUCCCCAUAAGAAGUGUGGCUAAAAAUCAGUAAGAAAAGGAUGAUCAGUGUGAGAGGAAAAGGAGAGUAGGAAAAGAGAAUUCUUAGAUGAAGCCAUAAAAAUGGCGAAGAAACCUAUGCAAAGAUACUCCUCUGUUGUGGCAGAGAUCACAAGCUGUUCUCCAGUAUCCACCUUCCCUUCUUCCACAGGAGCAAAACCCUUGAUUUUCAGCCAGGCAUGUGGUCUAUUAUUAAGACAUUCCCCAACCUCCCGUCUAGCAUGAGGCCCCGUACUCAAGUUCUGGUCAGUGAGAAGUAGCAGAUUCCAGGAACCGUCCCAAAAAGGCAGCUGACAGGUGUUCCUUAUUUCCUUUUUCUUUAUCUUUUUCUUGUGGCUGGAAUACGAGACAUAAUGGUUGGGGCUCCAGCAGCCUUAUAGGGCAGUGAGGAGACCUUGGGGACAGAGAGCCCACAUAGCAAAGUAAUAAGAGGAGGGGUCUGCGUGACCAAAACCAUGGAGUAGAGCUGACAUGCCAGCUCUAGACUGCCGUCCUCCUGAUUUUACUUAAGCAAUAAAUGUCUGGCUGGAGUCUCUGUUAUUUGUUCCUCUGCCUAUUCCUCGCUGAUAACAACAGAGAAAUACAAAACAAGACAAUGAACUUUCCAAACUCCUGAUCACUUUUCACUCACGAGAUUGGCAGAAACCUAAAAAGACGAUGAUAUUGUUAGAGACAGUGUAGUGCUGUGGUUCACAUCCCUCCUGCUCUGGACUUACCAGCUGUGGGAACAUGCACAAAGUGUGUAAUCCUCUGUGCCUCAGUUUCCUCACCUAAAAAAUGAGUGUCAAACCCAGUACUACCCCACAGAGUCAUUGUGAGGGAUCAGUGUUUAGAACAGUGCCCCAUACAGAGCACACAUAAGUGUCUGCCAUGACUAUUACUAUUUAGCUGGCGUACCUGAGGUGGGUGCGCAGGUGUAGAGGAAAGACGUUCACGCCUGGCCAGGAGUGUGAAACGUAGACAGCCAUUUCAGAGGGCUCUUGAUGUUUCAAAACUUUCAAACUACAUACAAGACUCCCCCCAAGGUGCCCCCUCUAACCCUGAAAUUCCACCUCUAGGACCCUGAAUCCCUUGGGGUCAAACGUGUUUCAGAUUUUCGGAAGGUAACUUGGCGCAUAUGCCCCAUCCUGUGUUACUCUUCCCCGGGGUCUGGGGCUGCCCCAUGCUGUAGACCCUCUGGGGUGUUCAGCCCACCUUAAGUGCACCUGGGGAAUUCUGGGGAGUGAAGGCACUUCGGGUAACCCUCAGCUGGUAGAGCCCAGGGGCAGGUGGGUAAGUGCCCAGCAGCCUCUAGUCCUUCAGAGAAGCACCCCACAUUGCUCAGGAGGUCCUAGAGAAGUCGACCGCCCCCUCCUGCAGUGCCCUCUGCAGUGACCUCCGUAAUGACCCUUGUAUUAUCUUCGCCCAACCCCCGUCUCACUCUCCCCGAUUGCUUCCUCCUGGAUUCUGGUGUCACCUUCCAAAAAAACACCUGCACUCAAGUCCUGUCUCAGGCUUUGCUUUUGGGGAACUCAGCCCAAGACAACCCCCUGAUGAAACACAUUAUUUCUUCAGCAAGCUGCACAUAUAUCACAGCAAGUGGGAGAAACAAAAGACGCUGAACACUCUCACGUCAAUUUGGGUCAGGUUUGCUGGCAAAUAGGUAGAAGAAAAGACGUAUGGUUCUGGGAGCAUUUGGGUUUCAUGGCUGUGGAUAUGGGACUGGACUGCACUCUGCGGAGCACAAAGGCACCCUCUCUUGCUGAGUUCACUCGGUGUGAGUGGAGAGGCUCCCCCGGCCAUGGACUGCACUCAGAAGGCCUGAGACAACAGCAGUCACCAGGAGUUGGGCCCUCCAGGAGCUGACACUCGAGUGUAGAAGAUGUCUGCUGGGGCUUCUGGCAACACUUGGGAAGGGGAGCCCUUGGGUGGGGAGACAAGGCCACAAUCGAUAGGUGCUCAGGGAUGGCCCCGCUGCAGAGGUGAGGUCUGAGAAGGGACUUGACAAUGAGAGGAAGCCUAGGACGCCAGCACCACCUCCACCUCGCCACGACGGCAGGUGCUCCUGAUGGGUCUCAGGGCGAGCGCACCCUCUGCCAGUGACAGGUCAGGUGUGGGCUAUGACCAGUCUCAGCCAAUGAGACAUCAGGGAGGGCCCGCAGGUGGCCUUGGGCCCGGCCAGCCUGGAUGCUGAGGCUGACCUACGAGGCUGACUUGAGGUGGGGAAGAGCAGAACAGGCAAACGGCCAGUGCUCACCCUGCUCCCUGCCAGGCAGCACUGUGGAUGGGCUUGUGGCCCACGUGAGACUGAGCAGCGAUUUCUGUCACUUGCGGCAGAAAACCUCCCACUGGCUAGCAAGCACCUUGUCCAUCCCAAGGGACAGACUGACAGGCUAUGGCUUGUCCCCAUCAUGGAACACAGCAGAGCGCCGAAAACAAAGAGGGGGUAUCCUCCCGUCCUGAAAAGGAACCAGCGACGAGAGAUGUCAUCUGUUCUCAACCAGGGGUAAUUUUGCUCCCUAGGUAGGUUGCCAGGUUAAGGAAAUAAAAAUGCAGGGCAGCCAGUUCAAGCUGAAUGUCAGACAGUGCAUAUUAACUAGAUGUCCUGUGUUUACUGUGGCAACCUUACCCCCAGGGGACAUUUGGCAAUGUCUGGAGGCAGUUUUGGUUGUCACUGGGGAUGGUUAGGUGCUACCAGCAUCUGGUGGGAAGGCACCGGGGAUGCUGUUACACAUUUCACAAUGCAUACGACAGCUGAGGCCAAAAAAAAAAAAAAAAAAAAAAAAAUUAUCCAGCCUAAAAUGUCAGUUGUAACAAGGGUGAGAACCCCUGUAUUAAAUGAAAGAUAGCAAAAACCCCAUAAGAACCCCAUAAGAUAUGGUAGGAUCUCAUUUGUACGUCCUGUAUUUACUCUGGCAACCCUACCCCCAGGGGACGUUUGGCAAUGUCUGGGGUUGUUACUGCGGAUGGGGUUGUGUGUGUGUGUUUCUUUUUUUCUUUUUACACACCCAACUAAGCCAUAGAGUCGCAUAGAAAAAGGUAUGGAAGGUCACAUACCUAAGUCAUGUGGGGUAGGGAGUGGUCAUUCCUUUUACUCUAAAUACCUUCUGCAGUGUUUUAUUAUUUGUGAAGUUAAUUAUAAUUGAAGUGAAUAUAUACGUGCAUACACACACACAGAAAGCAUGCCUAUCAAAACAAUAGAUAUUUCACAAAGUGAACGCACACAUGGCAUGGCCUCCUGAUGAAGAUGAAGAACAUGGCCACUGCUCCAUGAGGCCCUUUGCAGCCCUGCCAGCCUCUCCCUCGAGGGCUGCGAGGGGAACUGCUGUCCUGACUUCCAACCUGCUUUGGGCUCCACAUGAACCGAAUUCUGCCCGACGUCCUCGCUUGAGACUGGCGUCUUUCCCUCAGCAACGUGUCAUGAUUCAUUCAUGUGGAUCGGAGCAGCGGUUGGAUCAUUUUCAUUGCUGUGAAAUACACCACAAUGGAUUUAUGCAUUCAACCGUUGAUGGACAUUUGGGUCGUUUCCCGUUUGGCAAGAUGAUGAAGAAAGCUGGUAUGAGCAUUCUUUCACACGUCUUUUCUUGGGCAUAUGUACUCACUCCUGUUGAGUGUAAACCUAGGAAUGAAUCGCUCAGUCAUAGGGCAAAUGUGUGUUCCUCUUUCCUAGAUACCAUUCGAGUUUCCAAAGUGCUUGCACGGGUUUACGCUGCCAUCCACCAGAGAUGAAAGUUCCGCCUGGGCUGCUGCCUCCUGGCCAAGCCUGGCUGGGUUGUAGCUUUUGCGCUUUAGUCCCUCUGGUGGGUGUGUAAAUUGCUAAUCACUGUGAUUUUAAUUUGCAUUUCCCUGAUGAUGAAGCUGAGCACUUUUUCAUAACUUUAUGGGCCAUUUGAUUGUCCUCUUUUGUGAAAUGUCUAUUCGGGCCAUUGGUCCAUUUUUCCAUGAGGUUAUCUCCAUUUCUCUCAUUGAUUUGUAAUUAAGAGUCCUGUUGCAAAUCUCUUUUCCCGCCGUGCGGCUUCUUGCCUUUUCCUUUGCUUACAAUGCUCCAUGCUGUCCUGGACCCUAGCAUCACCCAGGCCUAGGUAAUAGAAGGGUGGCUUUUGUAAAGCGACUCAAGGCUGAGAAGGGAACAGACACUCUUAGCACAAUAAGCUACAGGCUGAAAAACAGCCGGAGGUGAAUGCAGCGUGAAUGGUCUGGCUGUCUUUUAUAAAAGUAACUCGAUUGGACUAGACCCCAUGAGGGCCUCUGCUCCUCCGCUCCCCUUUCCCUGAGGACCUAAUUCCCCACUGGGUCAGCCACAGAACCAGAUAGAGCUGGGGACUCACGACCCAUGCUGAAGACUGGAUGCAAGAGGAGGAAGGACUUUGGUGGAGAGAAGGAAUCAAAAGGAACCAAGAAUGUGAGACAAGAGGACUUGCUGGUGGGGUCCCCUGCUGUGUCCCCAGAGUCCCAGCAUGUGCCUGACACACAGCAGGUGCCUGAUUGAUAGUGACGGUUCCCCAAAGGCUGCUGGAGUCACCUCUGGGAUUCUGCACAGGCUCCACACUCUGGGGAGGUGUGCUUGGUAGAGGACAAGAAGGCUGCUUGUUGGGGUUACCUUAGUACCUGGGUGAAGAGUAAAAAGUAAUUAAUAAUAGCGAAAGAAAACGAUUGAGUUGGGUGAACCAUCGGCGUCCUUGAACCUUGUGGACUUAUGGCACCCAUAGGGUAGGGCAUGGGGUCUGGGAGUGAGGAGCGUGUACCUUUCACUUCCAGAGAGGCACCUUCUUGGGCUACCUAGGAUGAGGCCAGGUGGUGCUGGUGGCCAGGACGUAGGUUACCUGAAUGCCCACCAGUCCUGGGUGGCUGCCAGCUCCGAGUUGGGCAGCCCAGUCUACUCGGGGGCCAGGCAGGCGCAAAGAUGAGUGAGGCAGCUCCCGCAACACAACAGGAAGGAGAGAAUCUGCUAGAAACUGGAAUGCUA
RNAcentral lists this long non-coding RNA (6819 nucleotides) under Pan troglodytes (chimpanzee). RNAcentral's name for it is "long non-coding RNA NONPTRT009784". The record is from RNAcentral. Lineage: Eukaryota; Metazoa; Chordata; Mammalia; Primates; Hominidae.